AGAUUCCAAAGUUGUGAGGUCAUAGAAGCUUUGGUCACCUGCCAAGCCUUAGGACAGUGACCAGUGAACCAUCCCUCUGGCCCAGUUUCCUAUGGUAAAAGGGAAGUAAUAUCCUUACCAUCAGACUUGCAAAGAACUUGAAGUAACAUGUUAAUGACCUCGUUCAACAUUUAACAUUUGAAAGUAUUCUGUGUUACAAAUGGUUAAAACAUGUCGUUUCGGGAGUCAUCUUGACAUUGUUGGAGAACCAGCUGAUUUGGGUAACUGAGAGGCAUGAUUUCCACGGAGAGCUCAGUUAUAAAAGAGCCACAAUUGUCUUUGAAGGUCACCUCACUUCUUUAACACCUACCAUCAGAUAUUCUGAAUGAGAAUUAUAAUUAUCUUACUCAUCAAAAAAAAAAAUCCCUGGGAAGACAGACCUGAAAGCUGGCGGGCGAGCUUUCUUUGAGGGGAUAACAAGCAUGAUUCUAAAAUGUUGCUAUUAUAUAGCGUCUACAGCUUUUCACAUUUGUAAUGGGAAUAUGACCUUCGAUCUAACAUUCCCUGUUUGAAUGAGGAAUGCCCCCCACAGGAUCAGGUACCUGAACAGUUGGUGGCUCUGUUGGGGAGAAGAUCCAGCCUUACUGGAGGAAGAAUAGGGGUGUGCUCUGACAGAUGCCUCACACCACUUCUAGCUCACUGUGUUUGCAGUUGAAGAGGUGAUCCCUUAGCUUUGUGUCCUGGUCAUCUGCUGCCCCAACAUCAUGAACUCUCCUCCUGGAAAUACAAGCUACUUCUACAGAAAGAAUAAGGAUUCUAUGUAGAAGUGAUCCAUACUGCUGAGUCUGCAGUCUGGAACGGGAUUCAUUCACUACACAAAUCCAGUGAGAACGUGGGCAAUCAUCAUUCUGUAUCUAACAUCAACUUGAUUUCAGGAGAAGAAGCAGAAGCAGGGUGGGAAGAGGGGGAGAGGGGAGGAAGAAAAAAGAAGAAGAGAAAGAAGGAAAGAGAAAGAAGGAAAAUGAGGAGAAUAUCCUGCAAAGAGUGGAGAGAAUGAACUAAUGAUAAUACAGCUGUUUGAACAUAAGGGACUUCGUAUUCAGGAAAAUGCUAAUUAUCUGGUGGACAAAGCUUGAAGACUUUUUUUUUCUUGUCUGUGAGAAUGAAUGACAAAGCUAUUGCCAAACUCUCCCUUUCUCGACCUCCAUUGGGGCCAGAUUUUUUUAAUGUGAUAAAGGAGAAAUUGCAGCAAAA
Long non-coding RNA from Rattus norvegicus (Norway rat), 1233 nucleotides. RefSeq lists it as uncharacterized. The record is from RefSeq and is a predicted model, not a curated record. NCBI's taxonomy places the organism in Eukaryota, Metazoa, Chordata, Mammalia, Rodentia, Muridae.